Molecule: long non-coding RNA, 2068 nt
Filed under: Populus trichocarpa (black cottonwood)
Lineage: Eukaryota; Viridiplantae; Streptophyta; Magnoliopsida; Malpighiales; Salicaceae
Description: long non-coding RNA (PTRI_LNC001932)
Source: RNAcentral
AAAUACCAAAGACAAUGAGAGAGGACCACUUUUCUUCGAAUUAGUGGGAAAGGAUAGAUAGAUAAUUAUGAGCAUGUUUUAAUAAAACGGCACAUAAAAGAGAAGACACGCAGCAUUUACUGACUUGUAGAAUAACGACUUCAGUAGAUUACUACAUCUCCAGCUAAAACAAGGAAACCAUAGCAGCGCAGAUUUUAAACUGAAUGACACUGAACAACAAUUUAAUUGAGUGCUUUAUUUUUCUUUCAGGUGGAAUAGUAAACCAUUGAAGAACUUAUCACCUCAAAAUUGUGUGGCUCAAUUGAGAAUUGCGUGAGGACCUCCUGAGCUUUCUGUCGCCCUUUGAAGCCAUCAUCAUGAUCGUUGAAGCUCAGCAGCACAAGGUCUUUACAAACGUGGAUCGCCUACUGAGGACUACAAAUCCAUCUUCAACGCUACCAUACUAAGGCCAAAUCACUCACACCCAGAGAACCAAACAAGAAGAUCCAAUUGCAAAUCACAAGACUAGGUAAGAGCCACUUAAAUCCAGCCCCAAGGUCUUACAAGGAUAUCAUAGAGGACAAUAAGCUUAAUUAACAUACUUGCUACAAAAUAUGUAAUUGUAAAACGCUAGCAACAAUAGUAAAGCUAUCGAAACAGAAAUUCUGCGCAAGAUCGCAGUAAUGGAUUGACAAGCUAUAUCUAAAUAAACAAAACUCGUGCUCAUGUUUGCUCUGUAAAAUAAUAACAUGAGAUGCGUGCGUUGGAUAAUGAAAUAACUUGGAACGAAUGUUACCUGCAAUAACGGGGUGGUGCAAUGGAAUAAAAGCUUGAGUGCAAGGAAAGCAUACUGUUUAAUAUAGAAUAGAAGGUAAGCCCUGAUAUCAUAAUUUCCAGUGUCUUUGUUUUUUAUGUACUCUGUGAUGUGUGACUGCCAGUUUCAAGUGCUGAAACAUGUUUUAGUAGAAUUCUCUUAAUAGCCCAUAUUACCAAGAUGAAUAUUUGAUGGGAGCAGAUAGUGAUGAACAAUGAGAACCCAGAUUACAAAUUCAUGAUCUUGCUAACGACUGAUUCUACGUGAAGGGGCAUGUGACUACAUGAUUCUAAGUGCAGGAAAAUCGAAUUGAGGAUAUAGGAUAUAAGUAGGAGAAUACCUUCGGGUCACCGUCAUAAAUUGCAAUAUCGUGCCAUGGAUGAAUUGAUUGCUAGCUGGAGUCGGGGCCGCGCUUUAGCCAUGGAUUGUAAGGCAAAGAGAAGAGAAAGCGGGACACAGAGACUAGAGGGGAGAACCCGGGAAAUCCCCGUGCGAUCUCCCCUCCAAACACGAAAAUGAUAAUUUUAUUAAGAUAGUGGUUGACCUGCCAUGCAAGCGCACCUGUCAUGGCAAAGGUCGGAUGACAAAGAUAAUAAACAAGACCUUGGCCUCUUGGCCUUCUGGUCCCGAUAUAUAUCUUAUACAUCAUCCUCAUAAAUAAAUCGAACACCAACACCAGCAUCAUCUCCUUCCUGUCCUUCUCCACCAACAAAUUACACAUAACAUGCUACACCACAGCUCACAUAACCAAUCUUCAGCCAUGUCUACAUCCAGCAACACGUUCAGCGGAUUCUGUAACUGCUUACAACACCACCUGCAGAAAAAAUCUCAAAUCAUCUUCUGCUUUCCGCCAACAACCAAACUUAAAUAUUGCUAAAAUUCCUCAUGAUCGAAGAAAGCAUGGCCGGAAGGGACAGAUCCGCUUAAUAUUUGAGCUAUCGAAACAGAGCCGCGCCACAUCUACAGAACAAAAUUAGAUUUACGCGGAUUAAUGACUUGAUCAAUAACCAAUAGACAGAUAUUCAAUCAGAUCUAGCUUAGGAACGUAAACAAAACACUUAUACAUACCUCUGGAGCUAUCUCCGAGCAAAUCAAGAUCAUGGAGUUCGAGCAUCGAAACGGAUAUCAAGAUAAAGAUCGCAAGGCGAUCUAUAUGAAGCUGCAAUUGAAAAGAUCGAAGGAUGAUCCAUGAAGAGUAGAUCUAUGGAGAAACUAGAGCUUUGCUGAUAAGAUUAGGUAGAUAUGAAAGUUGUGUAUGUGAUUAUUAUAUAGAGG